AAUCAACGCUGGCGGCGCGCCUAACACAUGCAAGUCGAACGAGAAAGUGGAGCAAUCCAUGAGUACAGUGGCGUACGGGUGAGUAACACGUGGGUAAUCUACCUCUUAGUGGGGAAUAACUUUGGGAAACCGAAGCUAAUACCGCAUAAGCUCGAGAGAGGAAAGCAGCAAUGCGCUGAGAGAGGAGCCCGCGGCCGAUUAGCUAGUUGGUAGGGUAAAGGCCUACCAAGGCAGAGAUCGGUAGCCGGCCUGAGAGGGCACACGGCCACACUGGCAC
Molecule: ribosomal RNA, 277 nt
Filed under: uncultured bacterium
Lineage: Bacteria
Description: partial 16S ribosomal RNA
Rfam family: Bacterial small subunit ribosomal RNA
Source: RNAcentral